AUGUACCGAGAGGGGACACACCCCGCUCCACGGGGACAGAAGCUCCUGUGUGUGGGACUCCCCCAGACCGCCCCCGAAACACCGCUGCCUCUGGCUGUCCAUCCGUGCACUUUAUGCCACAACAGACUCCUGGACCGAGGUCAGUUCAGUUCAGUCGCUCAGUUGUGUCCGACUCUGCGACCCCAUGGACUGGAUGCUUCCCUGUCCCUCACCAUCUCCCGGAGCUUGCUCAAACUCAUGUCCAUCAAGUCGGUGAUGCCAUCCAACUGUCUCAUCCUCUGUCGUCCCCUUCUCCUCCCGCCUUCAAUCUUUCCCAGCAUCAAGGUCUUUUCCAAGGACUCAGUUCUUCACAUCAGGUGGCCAAAGUAUUGGAGUUGCAGCUUCAGCAUCAGUCCUUCCAAUGAAUAUUCAGGACUGAUUUCCUUUAGGAUAGAUUGGUUGGAUCUCCUUGCAGUCCAACGGACUCUCAAGAGUCUUCUCCAAUACCACAGUUAAAAAGCAUCCGUUCUUCGGGGCUCAGCUUUCUUUAUAGUCCAACUCUCACAUCCAUACACGACCACAGGAAAAACUAUAGCCUCGACUAGACGGACCUUUGUUGGCAAAGUCAUGCCCCUGCUUUUCAACACACUGUCUAGUUUGGUCACGGCAUCCGGUUCCAUCACUUCGUGGCAAAUAGAUGGGCAAACAGUGGAAACAGUGAGAGACUUUAUUUUCUUGGGCUCCAAAAUCACUGGAGAUGGUGACUGCAGCCAUGAAAUUAAGACACUUGCUCCUUGGAAGAAAAGCUAUGACCAACCUAGACAGCAUCUGUCUUCACUCACUGAAACGUUAGUGAACAGUGGAACACACGGCGUUUUUAGGGCGGUGGAAUGAAUGACUCUGUGUGUAAGAUGGGCACAUCACCUGCGUUUGUCAGAACCUGUGGACUCUAAGAUCAAGCCUUCGCCUGAAUUAUGGAGUUGAUUAACAAUAAUGUAUCCAAGUCGGCUCAUCAGUUCUAACAAAGGUACCCCACUCCAGCCAGGUAUGAGCAACAAGCGGUGGACGGUGAGGGGGCGGGACUGCUCCUACCGUCUGCCUGAUUUUUCUAGACACUUUCAACUGCUCUAGAACAUUAAGUACAUUAUUAUUAUUUUUUUUUGACUGCAACUGUGUGGCUUGUGGAGCCUUAAUUUCCCAACCAGGGAUUGAACCCUCACCCUCAGCAGUGAAAGCCUCGAAUCCUAACCACUAGACCUCUAGGGAAUUCCCUAAAGUUUAUCAAAUUUUAAAAGUUUAUUAAAUAUGAAAAAUUAUCCCUAGGUUAUACAGGGGUCCCCUUAGAGCCUCGGACCUGGGGAAAGUGUUCCUGGCUCAGGCUCAGGCCUCCCCUCACAGCUGGCCUCCAGGACCAUUGCCAACCUGAGCCCCGUGGUCAGGGACAGCCUCAGACAGCGGGCACCUUGGCGGUGGCCUGCAAGGAGGAAUGGUCACACUGAACGCGCGCUUCCGUGUUGACACGGCUGACGCAUGUGCGCAUGCCUGAGCUCACGCCCCCGCCCCCCGCAGUGCUUUCGUUCCCAGCUUUGCAGACAGAUCUGAAUUCUUUUGCAGCGCUUUCUGUUCUGAAGGCACUUGUGGCUUAAUCUUAGCCAGCACAUUCAAAGGAAUUAAACCAAAAAGCUCAUUUCUGAAGAAAGAGAGUAUUUGAAUGUCUGCAUCACUGUACCAUGUUUGCCUAAUGUUCUAGAAGCUUCUCUGGAGGGUGGAACAGCGUCCACCCCCAGGAAAUACUAACCCAACCACGGACACCUGGAGGAAGAGACACCUUCUUGUGAAAGGUUGUCCAUGUAGCCUCUUUAGAUGCAGAGAUUCGGCAGGAAUGUUUUCUGUUUUAAAAUUUCAGAGCCAAGUUUAGUUAUUGUUAAACUGGAGCUAAAUGACAGUCUGCUCGAGAGCUACUGUGUUUGAACCUGGAACUUAACACAUGAAAUGCCUCAGGGGAAAACGCACAGUCUGUGACCCAGAAACCAAGGGUUCCGCCAGGGCUGAGUGCAAAGCGAUGGCUGUUUGCAGGAAAGGUCUCCAGUGAGGGGAGCAUUGCUGUGUGGAAUGACCUCAUGGCACACUCACAGCCCUUUUCUACUGCGAGGAAGCGUCCUGCACAGAAACUAAGCCGCAUAGGAGACCCCGGGCCAGGGGUGCCCCCGCGUCCCGGCAAGCACACACACCAGGCCCCUGGGAGCUUUAUGCAACCCCUCAAAGUGCCAGUGAGGCGUGGACGGGCCAUCCGGGGUCGGGGGGCUCACCAGGAAGGCAGGUGCAAUGAAAACCUGGUCAGGGGAAAGCGAUGCUGGUGGGGUGGACCCCCCUCGGACCUGCAGGGUCAUCCCUGCUGGGGGCACCAGGCCAGCGGGAUGGGGCUGGCUGUGGAGGGGACCUCACUGCCUGGCCUCUGUCCUCCCAGGCAUCAGUGGGAUGAUCCGUGAUGGCCAGAAGGCCCCACCUUCUGGCUGGACCCUCCUGAGGGCUGGCGCAUCCACCCUGGACAGACAACAGGGAAAGCGCGCCUGAGCAGCGUGCCCUGUCAGGUGACCAGUCAGGACGAGGAGCCUCCCUCCUGGAGCCCCCUACCGACUGCCCCCUCUGCAGCCUUUCAGCAUGGGCAGGGUACAGACCCCUGGGAGCAGGGCAGGGGGGCCACCACUGGGCCAUAGGCCAGAAGCCCUGCGCCUCACACUAGAGCUGGGAGCAGGGUCCCAGCAAGUCACCUGAGCCUGAGCCCAGAAUGGAGGGACACCACGUGCUCAGGAGAGACGGAAACACACGCUGUCCUGAGAUUUCACGGAGUGUCCACAGCAGCGACAAGGCAACAGGGGAGGGGACGGGGGAGCAUGGCUUGCUCGAGGGACGGAGCUCCAGGCAGGUGACACUCGGGGCUGGAAGCUCCACCCUCCGUGGGGGGAGCCACACGGUGCGACCCGCCCAUGUGAGUGUCCAUGUCAGAAGACUCCCCGCAGACGGCGCUCGGAUUACAGUUCCGGGCUGCGGUUGGGGUGACGGCUGAGGCAGGGUGAUGGAAGCCUCUAGAACCAACUGUGGCACAGUUCUGUGAAGGUUCUACAACCACUGAACUCACUCUGUGAUGAGAGCUCUGAUGGGACGAGAGCUGUGUCCACAAAUCUGGUUUCUGGAGACGCCCCUUCCUGGGGGUCGAGAUGGACCAGAGGGCUCCCUGCCCGGCGCUGCCAUGAGUCCUCACCCCGAAAACACGAGGGGACCCCCUAGACAGCUUCUCCAUUCUCUUCACUGCUAACGCCCAUGAGGAGCUCUGUGCUUAAGCUGCGUCCAGACCAGGGACCCGGGGCGGGGUGACUGUCCCUGCAGGGGCCCCAACCCAGCCAUUCUGCCCACACGGGGGGCUCCAUCUGGCCCGGAGGCGCCUGUGCAGGGCCCUGUCGCCUCCUGCUCCCACCAGAACCCCCUGGGGGCAGCAAGGGGGGGAGGCCAACAGAGUCGGUGGAGACGCGCAAGCCUUUCUCCCCAAAGCAGGCAGCCCCCCAGCCCUUCCCUUGUGGGCUACACGGCGCUCCGCCCGCCCAGGCCCAGGGGGCUGCGAGCCCCUUCCCUGG
RNAcentral lists this long non-coding RNA (3611 nucleotides) under Ovis aries (sheep). RNAcentral describes it as "lncRNA (ENSOARG00000026771.1)". The record is from RNAcentral. Lineage: Eukaryota; Metazoa; Chordata; Mammalia; Artiodactyla; Bovidae.